RNAcentral lists this ribosomal RNA (301 nucleotides) under uncultured bacterium. RNAcentral describes it as "partial 16S ribosomal RNA". It matches the Rfam family "Bacterial small subunit ribosomal RNA", at positions 509 to 807 of the family's 1533-position model. The record is from RNAcentral.
CAGCCGCCGCGGGAAUACGAAGGGUGCAAGCGUUAAUCGGAAUUACUGGGCGUAAAGCGUGCGCAGGCGGUUAUGUAAGUCAGAUGUGAAAUCCCCGAGCUUAACUUGGGAACUGCAUUUGAAACUGGCAAGCUAGAGUCUUGUAGAGGGGGGUAGAAUUCCAGGUGUAGCGGUGAAAUGCGUAGAGAUCUGGAGGAAUACCGGUGGCGAAGGCGGCCCCCUGGACAAAGACUGACGCUGAGGAGCGAAAGCGUGGGGAGCGAACAGGAUUAGAGACCCGCGUAGUCCCUGUCUCUUAUAC